This 2575-nucleotide long non-coding RNA is filed under the name Marmota monax (woodchuck). Lineage: Eukaryota; Metazoa; Chordata; Mammalia; Rodentia; Sciuridae. The record is from RNAcentral.
GCCAGACAUGGUGAUGCAUGCCUACACUACCAGUAACCCGGAGGCUCAAUCUCAAGUUGGAGGCCAGCCUGGGCAACCUAAUGAGAGACUGUCUCAAAAUGAAAAAUAAAAAGGUUUGGGGUUGUAGCUUGUUAUUAGAGUACCUCUGGGUUCAGUCCCUAGUACCAAAGGGGUUAGGGAACUCCUGAAGUUUGUUAUUAAAACUUAUAGAUUUUUAAAAUGAAACAAUGUAUAUAAAAGUACAGCUUUUAUGUUGUAGUCCUAUUGAACCACUUAAUAUCAAAUAUCUGUUCAUUUCUCAAUUUUUUAAAAAAAUAGAAUGAGAAGUUCUAAAUCUUCCGAAAGAAAAUGAGAUGCACAUAUAUAUUUAUGUGCAUACGUAUAUGCAUAUAAUUAUAUGUGCAUAUAUAUAAUUUAUCUUAUAUCUUUAUAAUUUUCUUACUGUGAUGAUCUUAACAGUGAUAUGUAAAUGUCCAGUUAAUGUAAAUGUCCAGUUACUUAGCUACAUUUUAGAGGAUGCCUUAAUAAAGCUUUAAAAGUCAUUACCUAUAUAUUUCUGAAAUAUACUACUGUUCUGAUAUUUUAACAAUAAUUACAUUCAGCUAUGAUGAUUAAAUGUGUGCAUUUAAAAAAUAUUUUUUAGUUGUAGUUGGACACAAUACCUUUUAUUUAUUUAUUUUUAUGUGGUGCUGAGGAUAGAACCCAGGGCAUGUGUUAGGCGAGCCCUCUACCACUGAGCCACACCCCCAGCCCUAAAUGUGUGCAUUUUUUUCCCCUUUUAUAGUACUAAGGAUUGAACCCCAAGCUUUCAUUAUGCUAGGGCAAGUACUCUACCACUAAACCACAAACUUGGCCUCCAAAUAUAUAUUUUUUUUGAUGAAUAACUCCAUGAACGCCUUUAACAGAUUAUUAAUUCAGGUAAAGAUGAAUAAAUGAUGUAAUUUACAAUUGUUUGAAAAUUUGAUUUGAAUUUCUGUUAAGUUCAUUAAUUAUUAUGUACUUGAUUUUUAUCUUGAGAAUGACUUUUUAAUGACAAAAUCAUUUUGGUUUAGAAAACUACUUUCAUGGUUGUAUGGGACAUUUUUAGACUAUUCUGCAAAUAUAGGGGAAGGGUUAUACAAUUUUCAGUAGCUGGUUUCUGUAUUAAACAUACUCUUCUUGGGUGUCCCGGGAUCAAACCUGGAAGCACUCUACAACUGAGCUAAAUCUCCCGUUAUUUUUAGUUUUUAUUUUUAGACACGGUCUCACUAUAUUGCCCAGACAGGCCUUGAACUUGUUAUCGUUUUGCUUCAGGCUCCCACAUUGCUAGGAUUACAGGUGUGCAUCACCAUGCCUGGCUUUAAACAUACUUUCUUUAAAGUAACACAUCUCAAUGAACUUUGCUUCUGAGCAUCUAGAUUCAUCAGAAAUCUAUAUAGCACUACACAAGAAAUACAUGCUUUUUUAAAAACCAUGAAUCCAGUUAGUUCUCUCUGAAAUAAAAACAUUUUGUAAUAAAUGCCGUGUCAAAUGUGUUUAUCUUAUAAUGGUCUUAUUUGUAACAUUAUGCAGAUUGUUGCUAGAAUGUGUUCAGAUUUUCAGAAGCUUGGGAUGUAUCUAAAGUAGACCCUUCCUAGUCAGGCAAAAGACACAGACAAUUCUGAAGGUGCAUGAGACUGAUUAUAAAUAGCACAUUUAAGGCAUCUUGCAAAAAUGAUUGACCUCCUUGUUGCAAAAUCCAAUGGAUAUGCUUUCAGUUUCAUUUUCCUUCAUCUCUUAGUGGUAUUCUGAGUACCAUUAUCUUUUCCUCAAAAGGCCUUGUUUUCCCAAUCUGAAUCACUUCUGGCUUUUCUGCUUCCAGCUCAGGAACACUUGCUAGGUUAACCUCUUCCACCUAGCAUUUAUAUUCUGGAAAUCCUCAAGUUUUGUGUUUGUUUUUUGAGGUGCUGAAGAUUAAACAUAGGGCCUCGAAGAUGCAAAGUCCACACUCUACCACUGAGCUACAUCACCAGGCCAAACACUCAAACACUGGGACUUCUGGGACUUCAGUGAUCAUUUAAUGACUCUCAUAUUCCCUGUAGAGCAAGCAUUUUGUGGUAUUGGGGAUUGAAUUGAGAGUCUUGCACUUGCUAGGCAAGGAUUCCACCACUGAGCCUUUUUCUUUCUUUCUUCCUUUUUUUUUAAUGUUUAUUUUUUAGUUGUAGUUGGACACAAUACCUUUAUUUUAUUUAUUUAUUUUUAUGUGGUGCUGAGGAUCCAACCCAGGGUCUCACAUGUGUUAGGCAAGCACUCUACUGUUGAGCCACGACCCCAACCCCUUUUUUUCUUUUCUUUUUGGCCCAGGCCAGCCUCAAAUUUAUGAUCAUCCAGCCUCAGCCUCCUGAAUAGCUGGAUUUACAGUCUGUCACUGCACCCAGCUACACCAUUAUUAAAGAGGAAAAUUGGGCUGGGGAUGUGGCUCAAGCGGUAGCGCGCUCGCCUGGCAUGCAUGAGGCCCAGGUUCGAUCCUCAGCACCACAUACAAAGAUGUUGUGUCCGCCCAAAAGUAACUAAAAAAUAAGUAUUAAAAUUCUCUCUCUCUCUCUCUCAAAAAAAA